CCUUGACAUACUAAGAACUUUCCAGAGAUGGAUUGGUGCCUUCGGGAACUUAGAUACAGGUGCUGCAUGGCUGUCGUCAGCUCGUGUCGUGAGAUGUUGGGUUAAGUCCGCAACGAGCGCAACCCUUUUCCUUAUUUGCCAGCGGGUAAUGCCGGGAACUUUAAGGAUACUGCCAGUGACAAACUGGAGGAAGGCGGGGACGACGUCAAGUCAUCAUGGCCCUUACGGCCAGGGCUACACACGUGCUACAAUGGUCGGUACAAAGGGUUGCUACCUCGCGAGAGGAUGCUAAUCUCAAAAAGCCGAUCGUAGUCCGGAUCGCAGUCUGCAACUCGACUGCGUGAAGUCGGAAUCGCUAGUAAUCGCGGAUCAGAAUGCCGCGGUGAAUACGUUCCCGGGCCUUGUACACACCGCCCGUCACACCAUGGGAGUUUGUUGCACCAGAAGUAGGUAGUCUAACCGCAAGGAGGACGCUUACCACGGUGUGGCCGAUGACUGGGGUGAAGUCGUAACAAGGUAAGCGUAGAUGA
RNAcentral lists this ribosomal RNA (530 nucleotides) under uncultured bacterium. RNAcentral describes it as "bacterial SSU rRNA". It matches the Rfam family "Bacterial small subunit ribosomal RNA", at positions 979 to 1509 of the family's 1533-position model. The record is from RNAcentral.